UAUUAAUAAAACAAAAAUUCUUUUCUUUAUGAUCUGGAAUAUUUGCACGUUUCAAGACAAAUAAGUAAAACCAUGACAAUCGAAGUUCCCAAAAAUUCAAUGCAAUUGGAAUUAAAGAAGCUUAAAUCAUUUUUUGACUAUGCAAUAUACAAACAAUGAUAGCCUGCUGGUGACACUAUACGCGUUUACAACUACUCUUCUUAACUUCUAAGGUAGGCGGUUGAAAAGUCUGGCUACUCUAAAUUGGAAUGAAUUAUUCAUAUAACCUAGCCCUGUGUGACCGGAUAAAACUGAACAAUUCAACAAAAAAGAAGGAGAUUGUUGAAUCAAAACAUUUCGAAAUAAUAUUAAUGAGCGAAUGUCAAUAAAACGCCAAAAUGAGCACAUGCGAAGAAAUAUGAUCGAAUCGCUUAACGGAUUACAGCUCUUUGUAAAUCGUUCGUUACCGUUAUUUCGAAAACCAAACACACCGUUACACCGUUCUACAACCGUUCAGCCCGACUGUUG
This is a long non-coding RNA of Stomoxys calcitrans (stable fly), 507 nucleotides long. RefSeq lists it as uncharacterized. NCBI's taxonomy places the organism in Eukaryota, Metazoa, Arthropoda, Insecta, Diptera, Muscidae. The transcript is spliced from 4 exons. The record is from RefSeq and is a predicted model, not a curated record.